AUGCUCACUUCAGGAGCACAUAUACUGAAACUAGAAUGAUACGAAGAUUAGCAUGGCCCCUGUGCAGGAUGACACCGAUUUGUGAAGUGCUCCAUAUUUUC
Mustela putorius furo (domestic ferret) is the source of this 101-nucleotide small nuclear RNA. Lineage: Eukaryota; Metazoa; Chordata; Mammalia; Carnivora; Mustelidae. The record is from Ensembl.